Molecule: non-coding RNA, 522 nt
Organism: Paramuricea clavata
Lineage: Eukaryota; Metazoa; Cnidaria; Anthozoa; Malacalcyonacea; Plexauridae
Source: the annotation of a GenBank genome assembly
UAUGCUGCUGAACAGAUUUCACUGGAAAUGAUAAAAUAUUUAGUUGAACAUGGUGCUGAUAUUAAUUCUAAAAGCAAGAGUAAUGCCACUGCUUUGAGUUUAGCUGUUAGAACUGGAUCACUGGAAACUGUCAAAUAUUUAGUUGAACAUGGUGCGAAUGUAAACUGUGAAAGCAGUGACAAUGAUAGUCCUCUUCACUAUGGUGCUAAAAAGGGUUCACUAAACAUUGUGAAAUAUUUAAUUCAGAAAGGUGCGAAUGUGAAUUUCAAAAAUGAGUGGGAUAUAACUGCUCUUCACUAUGCUGUUGAGUCGGGUUCACCGGAAGUUGUCAAAUAUUUAGUUGAACAUGAUGUUGAUGUAAAUUGUAAAAGCAAGUGUAAGGCCACUGCUCUGCAUUUUGCUGUUAGAAAUGGUUCGCUAGCAAUAGUCAAAUAUUUGGUUAAGAAUGGUGCUAAGGUUACAGCAAAAGCACGACGUGGAGAACAAACAGUUCUAUAUUGGGCAUGUAGAGAGGGGAAUGAA